AAGCACUCUGCUUGGCAGAGUGCGGAUGAGUGGCGAACGGGUGAGUAACACGUGGAAAUCUGCCUAGGAGUGGGGGAUAACAUUCGGAAACGGAUGCUAAUACCGCAUAUCUUUUUGAACCGCAUGGUUCUUAAACGAAAGACGGCUUCGGCUGUCGCUCUUAGAUGAUCCCGCGGCGUAUUAGUUAGUUGGUGGGGUAAAGGCCUACCAAGACCAUGAUACGUAGCCGACCUGAGAGGGUGAUCGGCCACACUGGGACUGAGACACGGCCCAGACUCCUACGGGAGGCAGCAGUAGGGAAUCUUCCACAAUGGGUGAAAACCUGAUGGAGCAAUGCCGCGUGAAUGAAGAAGGUCUUCGGAUCGUAAAGUUCUGUUAUUAGAGAAGAACAAGUCAAGGAGUAACUGUCUUGACUUUGACGGUACCUAACCAGAAAGUCACGGCUAACUACGUG
Molecule: ribosomal RNA, 454 nt
Filed under: uncultured bacterium
Lineage: Bacteria
Description: bacterial SSU rRNA
Rfam family: Bacterial small subunit ribosomal RNA
Source: RNAcentral